UCCGUGUCGUGAGAUGUUGGGUUAAGUCCCGCAACGAGCGCAACCCUUGUCACUAGUUGCCAUCAUUUAGUUGGGCACUCUAGUGAGACUGCCGGUGACAAACCGGAGGAAGGUGGGGAUGACGUCAAGUCCUCAUGGCCCUUAUGGGUAGGGCUUCACACGUCAUACAAUGGUCGGUACAGAGGGUUGCCAAGCCGCGAGGUGGAGCCAAUCCCUUAAAGCCGAUCGUAGUCCGGAUCGUAGUCUGCAACUCGACUACGUGAAGUCGGAAUCGCUAGUAAUCGUGGAUCAGCAUGCCACGGUGAAUACGUUCCCGGGCCUU
RNAcentral lists this ribosomal RNA (322 nucleotides) under uncultured Thauera sp. RNAcentral's name for it is "bacterial SSU rRNA". It matches the Rfam family "Bacterial small subunit ribosomal RNA", at positions 1059 to 1382 of the family's 1533-position model. The record is from RNAcentral. Lineage: Bacteria; Pseudomonadati; Pseudomonadota; Betaproteobacteria; Rhodocyclales; Zoogloeaceae.